AGAGUUUGAUCAUGGCUCAGGAUGAACGCUAGCGGCAGGCUUAAUACAUGCAAGUCGAGGGGCAGCAUGACCGUAGCAAUACGGUUGAUGGCGACCGGCAAACGGGUGCGGAACACGUACACAACCUUCCUUUAAGCGGGGAAUAGCCCGGGGAAACCCGGAUUAAUACUCCAUAGUAUAUUGAAGAGGCAUCUCUUUACUAUUAAAGAUUUAUCACUUGAAGAUGGGUGUGCGGCUGAUUAGCUAGUUGGCGGGGUAAAGGCCCACCAAGGCUACGAUCAGUAACUGGUGUGAGAGCACGACCAGUCACACGGGCACUGAGACACGGGCCCGACUCCUACGGGAGGCAGCAGUAAGGAAUAUUGGUCAAUGGACGAAAGUCUGAACCAGCCAUGCCGCGUGGAGGAUGAAGGUCCUCUGGAUUGUAAACUUCUUUUAUCUGGGACGAAAAAAGGGAAUUCUUUCUCGUCUGACGGUACCAGAUGAAUAAGCACCGGCUAACUCCGUGCCAGCAGCCGCGGUAAUACGGAGGGUGCAAGCGUUAUCCGGAUUCACUGGGUUUAAAGGGUGCGUAGGUGGAUUGGUAAGUCAGUGGUGAAAUCUCCGGGCUUAACCCGGAAACUGCCAUUGAUACUAUCAGUCUUGAAUACCGUGGAGGUCAGUAGAAUAUGUCAUGUAGCGGUGAAAUGCUUAGAUAUGACAUAGAAUACCAAUUGCGAAGGCAGCUGGCUACACGAAUAUUGACACUCAGGCACGAAAGCGUGGGGAUCAAACAGGAUUAGAUACCCUAGUAGUCC
This 797-nucleotide ribosomal RNA is filed under the name uncultured bacterium. RNAcentral describes it as "bacterial SSU rRNA". It matches the Rfam family "Bacterial small subunit ribosomal RNA", at positions 8 to 796 of the family's 1533-position model. The record is from RNAcentral.